This 1190-nucleotide ribosomal RNA is filed under the name Blautia sp. AF13-16. RNAcentral describes it as "partial 23S ribosomal RNA". It matches the Rfam family "Bacterial large subunit ribosomal RNA", at positions 399 to 1604 of the family's 2925-position model. Lineage: Bacteria; Bacillati; Bacillota; Clostridia; Lachnospirales; Lachnospiraceae. The record is from RNAcentral.
GGCAGGAUCCAGAGUACCACGAGACACGAGAAACCUUGUGGGAACGCGCGGGGACCACCCCGUAAGGCUAAAUACUCCUUAGUGACCGAUAGUGCAUAGUACUGUGAAGGAAAGGUGAAAAGGACCCCGGGAGGGGAGUGAAAGAGAACCUGAAACCCUGUGUUUACAAGCUGUGGAACACCUUUAUAUGGUGGACCGCGUACUUUUUGUAGAACGGUCCGGCGAGUUGUGCAUACUGGCAAGGUUAAGCGUCUAAGACGCGGAGCCGUAGGGAAACCAAGUCUGAACAGGGCCAGAGUCAGUAUGUGCAGACCCGAAACCGGGUGAUCUAUCCAUGUCCAGGUUGAAGCUGCCGUAAGAGGUAGUGGAGGACCGAACGCACAUCCGUUGAAAAGGGUGGCGAUGAGGUGUGGAUAGGGGAGAAAUUCCAAUCGAACCCGGAGAUAGCUGGUUCUCCUCGAAAUAGCUUUAGGGCUAGCCUCGGUAUAGAUUCAUGGAGGUAGAGCACUGAAUUUCCUAGGGGGCGUCAAAGCCUACCGAAGAAUAUCAAACUCCGAAUGCCAUCGAACCGAUUACCGGGAGUCAGACUAUACGAGAUAAGUUGGAUAGUCAAAAGGGAAAGAGCCCAGACCUCCAGCUAAGGUCCCAAAGUGCGUGUUAAGUGGAAAAGGAUGUGGGAUUUCAAAGACAACCAGGAUGUUGGCUCAGAAGCAGCCAUCCAUUCAAAGAGUGCGUAAUAGCUCACUGGUCGAGAGGUCCUGCGCCGAAAAUGUCCGGGGCUGAAACACGACACCGAAGCUGAGGAAUGACAUAGUCAUUGGUAGAGGAGCAUUGAAUGCGGGAAGAAGCAGUACCGUAAGGAGCUGUGGACUGCAUUGAAGAGAGAAUGCCGGAAUGAGUAGCGAGAACAAGGUGGGAAUCCUUGUGGCCGAAUAUCUAAGGUUUCCAGGGUAAAGCUGAUCUGCCCUGGGUAAGUCGGGGCCUAAGGCGAGGUCGAAAGACGUAGCCGAUGGACAACAGGUUGAGAUUCCUGUACUGCGAUAUGACAGAACUGUGGGGACACGUGUGGAGAGCACAUCCCGGGAAUGGAAUCCCGGGGCAAGCGAGGUAGGGGUCUGGUAGGAAAAACCGCCAGGCAACCCGAAGGCGUGACGCGGACCGAACUAAAGUAGGGAAGUGUGUGAGCCAUG